AGUUCUCCUUGGCUUUUAUCUCAGUCAGGUUCUACCACUGAUAACCUUAGGACUCAGUACAGGCUUAAGGUGAAUCUCUAUUGUAUUAACCAUGCGACCUCAGGAAACCAACAAUGAAGUGACCAAAUUAGGGAGUAAGUUAUAUUCACAAUAAAAUAUCUCAAUGUACAAACUUAAUGGUUCAGAAAUAUCAACUUUUUUGUCUCUGCUUUCCAGCUACCUACUACACGGUGAUGGAGAGGGCCCUCUUAACACCCCGUGAAAAAUACAGCGAGCCUAUCACCGAUAGCAUGAACAUUGGAUGGCAUGUCAACAAGGAGAACACAGCAGAGGCUUCAGUUCAAAGGAAAUUCGGAAGGCGGGUCACUGAUGUUACCAGUUUUUCGAGCAAUUUUCCCAUGUGCCGCCAGCAUAGUCCUCCCCCAAGGAAGACCACCGCCGAUCACCCACGCCCCGUCAUGGGGCGGGCCCCCAAAUCCAGCACAGACUGGAGGACAGCAGACCCCAAAGCACCAGCCCCACCAGCUACCCAUUACAAUAUGAUGGAGAGGGCCCGCUUAACGCCCCAUGAAAAAUACACCCAGCCUAUCACCAUGAACAUGACAUAUGGAUGGCAUGUCACCAAUGAGGUAAGAAAGAAUUUAUAAUGUCAUUACAUUUUGUCAAUGAUCUACAUUUAUUAUUAUUAUUAUUAUUAUGCAUUAAGAUAUCCUCACACCCUCUCAUGGUCAUUUAAGGUAUUUUGUCACAAGCAAAUUAAUUGAAAACUUACUGAACCACUAACCAUAAAUAUUCAUUUUUUUUCUCUAAGAACACAGCAGAGG
RNAcentral lists this long non-coding RNA (824 nucleotides) under Gouania willdenowi (blunt-snouted clingfish). Its description in RNAcentral is "lncRNA (ENSGWIG00000023752.1)". Lineage: Eukaryota; Metazoa; Chordata; Actinopteri; Blenniiformes; Gobiesocidae. The record is from RNAcentral.